AUCCAGGGAGCCCAUGCCUCGGUAUUUCUUCAGCCGAAUGCCGUCAGAGAAGAAAUAUUCACCAGGAGCUUCACUGGUGGCGGCUAGCAGAGAGCCCAUCAUCACUGCACAUGGACAGAGAGAGAAGGUAGUGAGUGGAAGCCAUCUAUACAUACCUGUGGAUGCUCCCAGUGCCAGGGCUUUGGCGACGUGCCCGACAGUCUGGAUGCCGCCAUCAGCGAUGACCGGCACACCAAAACGCCUGGCGUACUCUGAUACCUUAUAGACCGCUGUGGCCUGGGGUCUGCCGCAUGCCAGCACUGAAGGGAGGAACGGAGGACGUUUAAAUGAUAAAUACAGAUGAUCUUUGGAACCAGAAAUCAUCAGCUGGCCGAUGGCAGCUGUAAUGUAUCAGUUCAUUUUGACAGGCAUGCAUGGUGGAAACUCAGCGAUUCAAGUGAUGUUAAAAAAAAAUAAAUAAAUAAAAACAAAUCACACACAGUGAAUGAGCAGACAGGCGAGGAACGUGACUCUUUCUGUUAAAGAAAAGUACGAAUGAGGAAGUUAAACUUGUCACAUCAGCAGACGAAUCCCACACCACAGAAAGACUCACACCCGUCGCACAUAAAUGUAUACUUUCGUUAUUCAGCCCAAUCGACUGAUUUCAAUUAUAUCUGCAAGAUUUUAAACCAAUCUUUCACACCAUCGCAGACAAGUGCAGACAAAGACAAACAUCCUAAUUCCUUUUUUCACUACGAGAGUUGUUUUGUUUCCUGUGAACUUGGGGCUGCACGGUACUUACCAAACGUGUAAUCAUAAUUAUCUUGCUAUGCACUGACAGGACAUGUUGCAAAGGGCUCUCUGAAUAAAUUAUUUGCAACUUUAAAGUUAAAAUCCUCCUGUUGAUUUGAUGGCACCCAUGGGUAACUGGUGGUGUGUGGAAGUACAGUUUAAUACUUCAGGUCCCAGAAUUCAGUGGGCAGCAAACACUCCAUGAGUAGAACUGGUACAUACAUAAGAAUGAUGAACUCUUUCAGAGCAAUUGUUGAUUCAAUAAUGCAAAAUAAUAAUAUAAUACAAUAAAGUGCAUCAAAAAUGGGAUUGAUUUCAUGAAAAUCUUUAAUAUUAAAGUACAGUGGCUGAAGGGAAAUCCGUCAGCCUGAUCCUGUCUUCUAAAUUUAGAAGUUUUAGAAAGUCUGCUGUUGCAAGACUGCUGCUACUUUGUGUACUAAGUGAUUAUAAACUAUUUUUAUUGUUCAGUAUGUGUCUCAUUUCAUAAAACAUACGAUCAAAGCAGAAAAAGAGACAUGACAACAGUCAUAGGAACAGAAACACGUCAUGUUUUCUCAGCCCUUAUGCUGCUCAGACUACAAGUAGCAGGUGAGGGCUGACGCCCCACGAGGUCUGUAUGCAGAAUGAAUUUACUGUGACGACUAUAAGAGAGGGAGACAACCACUUCAGAAUGUGUCACAAACAAAUGACCAAAGAUAAAUGCAUCAUGGCUGCUGCCUCCUUGAAAAUAAUGAUUAUGAUAUUUGAGUCCUGAAGCAAUGCUGCCAGCUGAAACAGAACCUGCCUGCUUCCAAACAGCUCACCGUGUUCACCACCUCUGCUAAACUGAGACACCCUGUGGCUGCCAGCUACAUUACAGAGCCACUCUGCUGUUUGCUUGUUCCAGUGCCUUGUGUUAGGGAUGGAGGAGAGCUGUGGUCUGACAAUGACAAUGAUAGGGGGGGGAGUGGGUGGUGUGGUAAUGAGUCAUGAUCAUGUCACAGAAGCAGCACACAGAGGGUUUGGGCUUAAACCAGCCACGUUCUGAUCAGUGCUAUCCAAAGCACACAAGUGCAUAGUGUCUCAAUCUGAUGACAUCAUCCAGAUACGAGACCCAAAGGUCAGUAUAGUGGGUGGAGCAACAUUCACAGAGGAUGAAUGACAGAUUAGUGAGGACACGGGAACAAGCAAAACCCCAAAACCCCAAAAGCUCUCAAAACAAACCAAAAACCGACUACCGCUACGUCUGCUACCGAUGCAAAGCUGUUAACCAAUCAAUGCAGCAGGCUGUGAAGUGUGGGGGAGGAGGGGCGGGCACACUAAUGAUAGUGGAGCCAAUGGGAGCCCAGCGCAGGCCAAAAGGUG
Larimichthys crocea (large yellow croaker) is the source of this 2115-nucleotide long non-coding RNA. RefSeq lists it as uncharacterized. The record is from RefSeq and is a predicted model, not a curated record. The transcript is spliced from 3 exons. Lineage: Eukaryota; Metazoa; Chordata; Actinopteri; Sciaenidae.